CAAGGGUUGGGCCACCGGCUUCAGGUGUUACCGACUUUCAUGACUUGACGGGCGGUGUGUACAAGACCCGGGAACGUAUUCACCGCAGCGUUGCUGAUCUGCGAUUACUAGCGACUCCGACUUCAUGAGGUCGAGUUGCAGACCUCAAUCCGAACUGGGACCGGCUUUUUGGGAUUCGCUCCACCUCACGGUAUUGCAGCCCUUUGUACCGGCCAUUGUAGCAUGCGUGAAGCCCAAGACAUAAGGGGCAUGAUGAUUUGACGUCAUCCCCACCUUCCUCCGAGUUGACCCCGGCAGUAUCCCAUGAGUUCCCACCAUUACGUGCUGGCAACAUAGAACGAGGGUUGCGCUCGUUGCGGGACUUAACCCAACAUCUCACGACACGAGCUGACGACAACCAUGCACCACCUGUUCACCAGUGUCCAAAGAGUCCCGUAUUUCUACGGUGUUCUGGUGUAUGUCAAGCCUUGGUAAGGUUCUUCGCGUUGCAUCGAAUUAAUCCGCAUGCUCCGCCGCUUGUGCGGGUCCCCGUCAAUUCCUUUGAGUUUUAGCCUUGCGGCCGUACUCCCCAGGCGGGGAACUUAAUGCGUUAGCUGCGUCACGGAAACCGUGGAAUGGUCCCCACAACUAGUUCCCAACGUUUACGGGGUGGACUACCAGGGUAUCUAAGCCUGUUUGCUCCCCACCCUUUCGCUCCUCAGCGUCAGUUACGGCCCAGAGAUCUGCCUUCGCCAUCGGUGUUCCUCCUGAUAUCUGCGCAUUCCACCGCUACACCAGGAAUUCCAAUCUCCCCUACCGCACUCUAGUCUGCCCGUACCCACUGCAGGCCCGAGGUUGAGCCUCGGGAUUUCACAGCAGACGCGACAAACCGCCUACGAGCUCUUUACGCCCAAUAAUUCCGGAUAACGCUUGCGCCCUACGUAUUACCGCGGCUGCUGGCACGUAGUUAGCCGGCGCUUUUUCUGCAGGUACCGUCACUCUCGCUUCUUCCCUGCUAAAAGAGGUUUACAACCCGAAGGCCGUCAUCCCUCACGCGGCGUUGCUGCAUCAGGCUUCCGCCCAUUGUGCAAUAUUCCCCACUGCUGCCUCCCGUAGGAGUCUGGGCCGUGUCUCAGUCCCAGUGUGGCCGGUCACCCUCUCAGGCCGGCUACCCGUCGACGCCUUGGUGAGCCAUUACCUCACCAACAAGCUGAUAGGCCGCGAGCCCAUCCCAGACCGAAAAAUCUUUCCAACCCCCACCAUGCGAUGAGAGCUCAUAUCCAGUAUUAGACGCCGUUUCCAGCGCUUAUCCCAGAGUCCAGGGCAGGUUGCUCACGUGUUACUCACCCGUUCGCCACUGAUCCACCAAGCAAGCUUGGC
Molecule: ribosomal RNA, 1359 nt
Filed under: Actinomycetes bacterium
Lineage: Bacteria; Bacillati; Actinomycetota; Actinomycetes
Description: Actinobacteria bacterium partial 16S ribosomal RNA
Source: RNAcentral